CAUUCAGUUGCCAUCGGGUGAAGCCGGGCACUCUGGAAGGACUGCCAUCGACAAGAAUGGAGGAAGGUGGGGACGACGUCAAGUCAUCAUGGCCCUUAUGUCCAGGGCGACACACGUGCUACAAUGGCCGGCACAACGGGAAGCGAGUUCGCGAGGACGAGCGGAUCCCUUAAAGCCGGUCGCAGUUCGGAUUGAAGUCUGCAACUCGACUUCAUGAAGCUGGAAUCGCUAGUAAUCGCAGAUCAGCCAAGCUGCGGUGAAUACGUUCCCGGGCCUU
RNAcentral lists this ribosomal RNA (277 nucleotides) under uncultured Synergistaceae bacterium. Its description in RNAcentral is "partial 16S ribosomal RNA". It matches the Rfam family "Bacterial small subunit ribosomal RNA", at positions 1108 to 1382 of the family's 1533-position model. The record is from RNAcentral. Lineage: Bacteria; Thermotogati; Synergistota; Synergistia; Synergistales; Synergistaceae.